Molecule: ribosomal RNA, 500 nt
Filed under: uncultured bacterium
Lineage: Bacteria
Description: partial 16S ribosomal RNA
Rfam family: Bacterial small subunit ribosomal RNA
Source: RNAcentral
AUUGAACGCUGGCGGCAGGCUUAACACAUGCAAGUCGAGCGGAGAGAGGUAGCUUGCUACUGAUCUUAGCGGCGGACGGGUGAGUAAUGCUUAGGAAUCUGCCUAUUAGUGGGGGACAACAUUUCGAAAGGAAUGCUAAUACCGCAUACGUCCUACGGGAGAAAGCAGGGGAUCUUCGGACCUUGCGCUAAUAGAUGAGCCUAAGUCGGAUUAGCUAGUUGGUGGGGUAAAGGCCUACCAAGGCGACGAUCUGUAGCGGGUCUGAGAGGAUGAUCCGCCAAACUGGGACUGAGACACGGUCCAGACUCCUACGGGAGGCAGCAGUGGGGAAUAUUGGACAAUGGGCGAAAGCCUGAUCCAGCCAUGCCGCGUGUGUGAAGAAGGUCUUCGGAUUGUAAAGCACUUUAAGUUGGGAGGAAGGGCAGUAAGCUAAUACCUUGCUGUUUUGACGUUACCGACAGAAUAAGCACCGGCUAACUCUGUGCCAGCCGCCGCCGUAA